This 75-nucleotide transfer RNA is filed under the name Clostridium perfringens. RNAcentral's name for it is "tRNA-Gln". It matches the Rfam family "tRNA". Rfam says of the family: Transfer RNA (tRNA) molecules are approximately 80 nucleotides in length. Their secondary structure includes four short double-helical elements and three loops (D, anti-codon, and T loops). The record is from RNAcentral. Lineage: Bacteria; Bacillati; Bacillota; Clostridia; Eubacteriales; Clostridiaceae.
UGGGAUAUCGCCAAGCUGUAAGGCAACGGACUUUGACUCCGUCAUUCGCAGGUUCGAAUCCUGCUAUCCCAGCCA